UUGAACGCUGGCGGAAUGCUUUACACAUGCAAGUCGAGCGGCAGCGCGGGGGCAACCCUGGCGGCGAGCGGCGAACGGGUGAGUAAUGUAUCGGAACGUACCCUGUCGUGGGGGAUAACACAGCGAAAGCUGUGCUAAUACCGCAUACGACCUGAGGGUGAAAGCGGGGGAUCGCAAGACCUCGCGCGAUAGGAGCGGCCGAUAUCGGAUUAGCUAGUUGGUGGGGUAAAGGCCUACCAAGGCGACGAUCCGUAGCUGGUCUGAGAGGAUGAGCAGCCACACUGGGACUGAGACACGGCCCAGACUCCUACGGGAGGCAGCAGUGGGGAAUUUUGGACAAUGGGCGCAAGCCUGAUCCAGCCAUGCCGCGUGAGUGAAGAAGGCCUUCGGGUUGUAAAGCUCUUUCAGACGGAAAGAAAUCGGGCGCGUGAAUAGCGUGCCUGGAUGACGGUACUGUCAGAAGAAGCACCGGCUAACUACGU
This 482-nucleotide ribosomal RNA is filed under the name uncultured bacterium. Its description in RNAcentral is "bacterial SSU rRNA". It matches the Rfam family "Bacterial small subunit ribosomal RNA", at positions 29 to 506 of the family's 1533-position model. The record is from RNAcentral.